This is a long non-coding RNA of Cheilinus undulatus (humphead wrasse), 1561 nucleotides long. RefSeq lists it as uncharacterized. The record is from RefSeq and is a predicted model, not a curated record. Lineage: Eukaryota; Metazoa; Chordata; Actinopteri; Labriformes; Labridae. The transcript has 3 exons.
ACAACAGGUCAGAAUCAACACAGUUCAAGAAAAUCCUUUUUUAUUAAAGCCAUUUUAAACAAUGGAAUAGAGCUACAGGAAUGUAUGUGACCAAAACAACUUAAAGACCCUGUAAAGUGAAAAUAAAUCUGUACUUAGGUUUGUUGUAUGACAGCUCACUGUGUUAUGAACCUCCAGAUAAAUGUAACCCAGGGUUUAAUUCCAUUCCCUGUUGAAAUCCAUUCCCUGUUGAAACCCAUUUCCUGUUGAAAUCCAUUUCCUGUUGAAAUCCAUUUCCUGUUGAAAUCCAUUCCCUGUUGAAAUCCAUUUCCUGUUGAAAUCCAUUCCCUGUAGGCCAGUGCUAGUUUUUCACCUAUUCAAGUAAUGAAAUCCAAUCCAUUCCAUUCUAAUCCGGUACUGGUUUUCUACACCUCCCAUAUGCACACCACAUGACAGGUUCACAUGUUCUUAGUUAUCCAAUCACAUCCCUUGGAGGUAAUGUUUAAGCUGCCCUGACUUACUUUCCUUUAGUUGUGUGGGAGAGAAGUCAAGGGACAGCAGCUUACAGGAACCAAAAUAGAUCAUCUUGUGACGGGGGAACUUGUCUUGUCUUGUGCAUUGUGCUUACUGAACUGGCCAGGUGCCCUAUGAAAGGUUUAAAGUGAUGGCGAGCUAGUGAAAUCGGCCUGGAGCUGACCCCGUUCCCUGUUCUGUGUGCAACUAUCCAUGGUCUGGUAGGAGGCUCCUCGGACAUCUAUGCGCUCUCGGACAAUCCACCCUAAACAAUAAACAUAACGGACUAGGUUGUGAUACGUUGCUUCACAUUUGUGGAAGAAAGGACUUUUGGAUUUUGGCGUGUUGAUUGAACUAUUCGUCAGAGACUAUUGAGUUUUCACACUCUUGAACUGUAUUGUAAACCUGCAGUGUUGUAAAUAUUGGGAUCCAAUUUGCACCUUUAAUUUGUAUAAUACACAUCAUAUAACUCAAAUACCCUUUUUACUGGUCUUUAUUUACUGGUCCCUGCCCUCCAGCAGACGUUCUUACUCUUCUGUUUCUAGCCGACACUAUUUACUACCUAUUACAUCUGUUACAUUAUUAUUACACAAUAACAAGCAAACACUGGUUACAUAAAACAUCUCUAUGUUUAUAAAAUUAAACUUCAAAAUCAUGAAAAAUGAGGCAGUAAAAUCUGCUCCAGGAUGGUGUGGGCGUGUCUGCUGGAUGAGCUGAAGCCACACCCACUCAGGAGAUAUAUGAUCCUCCCAGAUUAAAAAAAUGCUACAGUCUGAUUGGAGGAAAGCUUUCAUGCUAUUAGCCCCACCCCUUGACCUUACAUUGACCUCAUGAUCAGAGCAAAUCUGCCUGGCUCUGUGCCAGAGAAGAGACAAAGUCUGUUUUCUGGCUCAAAUCUCUGUUCUGAUGCUUUAAAUCAGUGGUUGUGAGGCGGGCCACCCCUGAGGGGAGGCGCAGAGCCAUAAACCAGACAAAAGGUGAUCUGCUGUGCAUGGAGCAAAAUGGAUAAACUUAUAGUUACUUAUGGAGCAGUGUUACUCAACCAAAGAGCCAAAUUAUUGAAAAUACC